UCUCCUGGAAAACGGGUGGUAAUGCCGGAUGCUCCAGUUGGAUGCAUGUUCUUUUGGGAAAGAUUCAUCGGUAUGGGAUGGGGUCGCGUCCUAUCAGCUUGAUGGCGGGGUAACGGCCCACCAUGGCUUCGACGGGUAGCCGGCCUGAGAGGGCGACCGGCCACAUUGGGACUGAGAUACGGCCCAGACUCCUACGGGAGGCAGCAGUGGGGAAUAUUGCACAAUGGGCGCAAGCCUGAUGCAGCGACGCCGCGUGCGGGAUGACGGCCUUCGGGUUGUAAACCGCUUUUGACUGGGAGCAAGCCCUUCGGGGUGAGUGUACCUUUCGAAUAAGCACCGGCUAACUACGUGCCAGCAGCCGCGGUAAUACGUAGGGUGCAAGCGUUAUCCGGAAUUAUUGGGCGUAAAGGGCUCGUAGGCGGUUCGUCGCGUCCGGUGUGAAAGUCCAUCGCUUAACGGUGGAUCCGCGCCGGGUACGGGCGGGCUUGAGUGCGGUAGGGGAGACUGGAAUUCCCGGUGUAACGGUGGAAUGUGUAGAUAUC
This 542-nucleotide ribosomal RNA is filed under the name Bifidobacterium adolescentis. RNAcentral's name for it is "bacterial SSU rRNA". It matches the Rfam family "Bacterial small subunit ribosomal RNA", at positions 146 to 698 of the family's 1533-position model. The record is from RNAcentral. Lineage: Bacteria; Bacillati; Actinomycetota; Actinomycetes; Bifidobacteriales; Bifidobacteriaceae.